RNAcentral lists this ribosomal RNA (345 nucleotides) under Anaplasma phagocytophilum. Its description in RNAcentral is "bacterial SSU rRNA". It matches the Rfam family "Bacterial small subunit ribosomal RNA", at positions 102 to 448 of the family's 1533-position model. Lineage: Bacteria; Pseudomonadati; Pseudomonadota; Alphaproteobacteria; Rickettsiales; Anaplasmataceae. The record is from RNAcentral.
ACGGGUGAGUAACACGUGAGCAACCUGCCCCUGACUCUGGGAUAAGCGCUGGAAACGGCGUCUAAUACUGGAUAUGUGACGUGGCCGCAUGGUCUGCGUCUGGAAAGAAUUUCGGUUGGGGAUGGGCUCGCGGCCUAUCAGCUUGUUGGUGAGGUAAUGGCUCACCAAGGCGUCGACGGGUAGCCGGCCUGAGAGGGUGACCGGCCACACUGGGACUGAGACACGGCCCAGACUCCUACGGGAGGCAGCAGUGGGGAAUAUUGCACAAUGGGCGCAAGCCUGAUGCAGCAACGCCGCGUGAGGGAUGACGGCCUUCGGGUUGUAAACCUCUUUUAGUAGGGAAGA